This 1345-nucleotide long non-coding RNA is filed under the name Monodelphis domestica (gray short-tailed opossum). RNAcentral's name for it is "lncRNA (ENSMODG00000049604.1)". Lineage: Eukaryota; Metazoa; Chordata; Mammalia; Didelphimorphia; Didelphidae. The record is from RNAcentral.
CUCAUCUCAGAACAAUGGCUAAGGAAUUCUCAAAGGCCAGAGAGAGUCCCAUGGAGUUUGCUAAAGAAUUCGGGAUCAUUCCCUCUACUGACCAACCUAGCUUCUUAGACCUUUAUCAGCUAGCCCAAAUAUUGGUGGGCCCAGCAGAUGUGCAUCAGUGGUUUAAGACAGCCCAAUGGAAAAAUCCUUUGGAGCACAUAAAUCACUUAAAGCUUAGAAAGGAUGAGCCUGAAGUCCACCUACAAGAAGCCAGAAAACUUGGGGAGGCCUUAUUAGAGGCUAUUCCCAAGGCUUUUCCAAAGCCUGUCAAUAGAGGAAACAUUCAGGUUUGCACUCAAAAGGUGGGAAAAUGCAUUUUUGGUCCUUAUAAUGAGUUUCUAACUACAUUUGAAGCCAACUUUGGCUUUUCUCCAGAUAACCCUGAUGCAUCCUUGGUUUCUAGAUGUUUUCCUUUCAGGUACUCAACCAAAAGGCAAAGGGUAAGAAGUUGUUAUUUUUGUAACAAGCCUGGACACCUGAAGAGAGAUUGUAGGGAGCUGCUAAGUAAGUUAAAACAGCACCAAGGAAGGCAUGAUCAUGCUUCCUGAGAGGUUUUCCGGGACUCUGCAUCAAGAAGGCUCAAACUUAUAGGAGCAGAGCAGCCAGAGUAGCAAAAGAAGGAUUUACCAACAAGUGCUGAGCAGAUGUAACCUUCCUUGUUCAAUGAUCUGACUUCAUUUUCCUGUGUGAUUUAUCACGUUUGCAAACUGGCAUAAUCUCAAGCAUUUUGUUGUUAAUUUAGAUUUUUCUUAUUUGUAUGUAUUUCAGAUAAGGAGAAGAUCAUUUAAUUGAGUUCUGAGUAAUUAUCUUGCUAUAAAGAGUGUAGAUGGAGGUGGUUAUUUGAAUAUUCAGCUAGGAAGACUCAUUUCCCAUUGUAAAAAAGAGGAUAUACAUGCAUGCAAAGGACAUCAUCUGUCAGUCAAAAGGAACAUUCCAUUUCGAAUGUUACGGGGAAAAACAGAUGGAGCUAAGCCAACAGCUAAACUGGACUGGACCCUUUGGCUUCUGAAGGAGUGGUGGAGAAGAAGUGGGGGUUUUCUGGCUUCUGGCUAAGUUUUGGCUGCUUGUGGCUGAUGGUGAAGACCCUGGAGCUUUUGCUGACUGAUUGAGGUUACCUGGCUCGUUAGAAGAAAAGAAGACAUCCAGUUGUCCUCCUAAUCUCUCUGACUGUCCCUGCUAUUGACUGAUUGCCAUUUCCCCAAUAUCCUCAUAACACUCAUUUUAGAGAAUAGGGAACAAUAUCCCUCUUAUCUUAUCCUCUACCCUUGUCCUGUCUUCCCCAAAUAAACCCUUACUUGAGAAAUCA